RNAcentral lists this ribosomal RNA (432 nucleotides) under uncultured bacterium. Its description in RNAcentral is "bacterial SSU rRNA". It matches the Rfam family "Bacterial small subunit ribosomal RNA", at positions 33 to 507 of the family's 1533-position model. The record is from RNAcentral.
GAACGACGCUGGCGGCAGGCCUAACACAUGCAAGUCGAGCCGCCCCGCAAGGGGAGCGGCGGACGGGUGAGUAACGCGUGGGAACGUACCCUUUGCUACGGAAUAGCCUCGGGAAACUGGGAGUAAUACCGUAUGUGCCCUUCGGGGGAAAGAUUUAUCGGCAAAGGAUCGGCCCGCGUUGGAUUAGGUAGUUGGUGGGGUAAUGGCCUACCAAGCCGACGAUCCAUAGCUGGUUUGAGAGGAUGAUCAGCCACACUGGGACUGAGACACGGCCCAGACUCCUACGGGAGGCAGCAGUGGGGAAUCUUAGACAAUGGGCGCAAGCCUGAUCUAGCCAUGCCGCGUGAGCGAUGAAGGCCUUAGGGUUGUAAAGCUCUUUCAGUGGGGAAGAUAAUGACUGUACCCACAGAAGAAGCCCCGGCUAACUCCGUG